Gossypium hirsutum (cotton) is the source of this 144-nucleotide non-coding RNA. The record is from Rfam. NCBI's taxonomy places the organism in Eukaryota, Viridiplantae, Streptophyta, Magnoliopsida, Malvales, Malvaceae.
GAUUAAAAAUUUUAUUUAUUUUUAUUGUUAAAAACCAGUGUGACUGACGAAACAACCGUCAAUUACACAUAGCGUGCCAUAUUUACCUUACACCCAUGUACAAUGGUCAGAUUUUAAUAGUAGAAAUAGAUGAUUUUUUUAACA